RNAcentral lists this ribosomal RNA (391 nucleotides) under Megacyllene robiniae. RNAcentral describes it as "partial 12S ribosomal RNA". The record is from RNAcentral. Lineage: Eukaryota; Metazoa; Arthropoda; Insecta; Coleoptera; Cerambycidae.
CUAGGGAUUAGAUACCCUAUUAUUAAAAAUGUUAACUCUUAAGUCCAGAUUAGUAUUAGUUAUUGUCUUGAAAAUUAAAAAUUUUGGCGGUAUUUUAUUCCACUCAGAGGAACCUGUCUUUUAAUCGAUGACCCACGAUUUUAUUUACUUUUUUUUAGUUUACAUAUCGUCGUGUUUUGAAUAUUUUUAAAAAACAAUAAUAUUCAUAAUUUUUUUUAGUAAGAAAAUCAGAUCAAGGUGUAGCGUAUAAAAAAGAUAAUGAUGGGUUACAUUAUUUAUAUUUAAGAGAUUGCUGUUUUAUAAUUGGCAUGAAUGCGGAUUUGAUUGUAAUUUUAUUUAAUUAAUUAGGAUGAUUAUUGGCUCUAAAAUAUGCACACAUGGCCCGGUCGCU